UGGCUUGACGUUGAUCACACCACUUGUUUCAGUCUGCCCCUUGCUGCUGUGGUCUGCGCGCCUGCCUCCUCCCCAUCUGACCCGCAACGAAAUAUGGGCAUUUCCUUCCACCCUAAGCCACCUACAAGGACUUAGAAGAGAUUUUCUUUGAUAUGUCAGUGACUUGGCUUCUGGCUUCCUGCCUAGCUAUCCCACCUUGGACCAGAAGCCUCCACUGUGAAGCAUCUUGCUUUAAGUGGUUCACCUUGAAGGUUUUUUAAAACAGUAGGGAAUGAGCUGG
Long non-coding RNA from Myotis daubentonii (Daubenton's bat), 280 nucleotides. RefSeq lists it as uncharacterized. NCBI's taxonomy places the organism in Eukaryota, Metazoa, Chordata, Mammalia, Chiroptera, Vespertilionidae. The record is from RefSeq and is a predicted model, not a curated record.